Molecule: non-coding RNA, 1462 nt
Organism: Salmo salar (Atlantic salmon)
Lineage: Eukaryota; Metazoa; Chordata; Actinopteri; Salmoniformes; Salmonidae
Source: RefSeq, a predicted model, not a curated record
UACUCACUUCCCUGUCUGUCUAACUGUUAUUUUUUUAGCUUGUAAUGCGACAAUAUUCAAGAUUUUUCAUUUCGUCUCAAAUGAUUCUCUUGCAUCGUGGAAUGUCUACACUGGUGUUCAUAUUUUUGUUGUUUGCACCAGCUGCUUCUGAGAAUGAAGUCACUGGGAUUAUAGGAGAGACUGUUCUCCUGUCCUGUGACCUGAAUUCAUCCACGGCCAUCGACACAGCAAGACUCCGGUUCCAUUGGCAAGAUAAGUCCGAAAAAGUGUUGUACUCGUUCAACAAAGGAGAAGAGAAUAAACAUCAGGAUAACCUUUACACAAACAGAACUAAAGCCUUUGGGUCUGAGAUGAGUUCUGGGAAUAUCUCUAUCAAACUCAGCCAAGUAACACUUGAAGACAAGCAGAACGUCUACUGGGCUUUCGCGUUUGAUGGGAAUGAUAAGCCUAUCCCCAAGUUGAUAAAAUGGUGUCCCACUACCCUACAUGUGGCAGCACGGUUCCCAACACCCAGUGUGACUGUGAACAAGACAAAUAUGAAUACCGCAGACCCUUCAGGUGAAGUUCAGAAAGGCUUUACUCCUGCCAUUAUUGGAGGCAUUAUAACAAUAUUUAUUGUGAUUUGCCUCGGGCGGAUAUUUAUUGUGUACAAAAAAUGUAAGUUACAAUUUCCGAUGUUUUACUUUCUGUAAUGAAAUCAGAUUCAAUACUGUAUAAACUUGUCUCAGUCUGUAAUUACUCUGUCAGUGCCAAAUCUAAGGAUUUGUUCUCCAUUUACAUUCAAAUACUAUAUUUUUUCACAUUUGAGGAGUGACCAGUAUGUGAAAAUCAGCUGGCCCUAUAUACAUUUUAUUCAGUAGUUAGAUGGGCUGCAGUGUAUUUUUAAUUGUGACUAAAACACUGGUCCAUGUUGAUCUGGUUAAUUAUGACUAAAAACACUGAUCCAUGUUGAUCUGGUGAAUUAUGACUAAAAACACUGGUCCAUGUUGAUCUGGUUAAUUAUGACUAAUAACACUGGUCCAUGUUGAUCUGGUUAGUUAUGACUAAAAACACUGAUCCAUGUUGAUUGAGGUUGUGGAGACAGAGGUGGUGCCACGGGAGCCAGCAGUGGUGCUACAGGGCCAACAGAUUUUCCACAGGAGCCAGAGGUGGUGCUACAGGAGCCAGAGGUGGUGCUACAGGUGCCAGAGCUGGUGCUACAGGAGACAGAGGUGGUGCAACAGGAGACAGCGGUGGUGCUACAGGAGGUGAUGAAGAGCAGAGCAUUCUAAUGGGUCUCACAACAAGCCAGCCUCGGGGCAAUAGUAGUGUAGAUCAAGUUGAUUUAGCCACAGUUAGCAACGCUAACGGUGCUGCAGCAAAAAAACACAGCUGAUUGUGUAACAAAACCAUUGCAUGAAAUUGUAAACAUUUAUUUAUUCAUUUUAUUUAACCAGGAAGGGCUCAUUGAGAUUUAAAAUCU